CCCCCCUGGCAAUAGGCAAGGAGGUACCUGAUUGGUGGUGUUGCUCUUAGAUCAGUCAGGAGCAAAGCAGACAUACACUCCUUAGUACAUUCUAGCUUGAUGCCUGUGUUGGUGGCCAGAACUGUUUCAUGCCUGGGGCACAUAA
This 145-nucleotide small nucleolar RNA is filed under the name Myotis lucifugus (little brown bat). Its description in RNAcentral is "Small nucleolar RNA SNORA48". It matches the Rfam family "Small nucleolar RNA SNORA48". Rfam says of the family: The snoRNA ACA 48 has been identified to guide pseudouridylation of the residue U3797 in the 28S rRNA subunit. Its host gene EIF4A1 (eukaryotic translation initiation factor 4A1) is shared with U67 and snoRNA mgU6-77 Lineage: Eukaryota; Metazoa; Chordata; Mammalia; Chiroptera; Vespertilionidae. The record is from Rfam by way of RNAcentral.